Molecule: ribosomal RNA, 468 nt
Filed under: uncultured bacterium
Lineage: Bacteria
Description: partial 16S ribosomal RNA
Rfam family: Bacterial small subunit ribosomal RNA
Source: RNAcentral
GACGAACGCUGGCGGCGUGCUUAACACAUGCAAGUCGAACGGAAAGGCCCUGCUUUUGUGGGGUGCUCGAGUGGCGAACGGGUGAGUAACACGUGAGUAACCUGCCCUUGACUUUGGGAUAACUUCAGGAAACUGGGGCUACUACCGGAUAGGAGCUCCUGCUGCAUGGUGGGGGUUGGAAAGUUUCGGCGGUUGGGGAUGGACUCGCGGCUUAUCAGCUUGUUGGUGGGGUAGUGGCUUACCAAGGCUUUGACGGGUAGCCGGCCUGAGAGGGUGACCGGCCACAUUGGGACUGAGAUACGGCCCAGACUCCUACGAGAGGCAGCAGUGGGGAAUAUUGCACAAUGGGCGGAAGCCUGAUGCAGCAACGCCGCGGGCGGGAUGACGGCCUUCGGGUUGUAAACCGCUUUCGCCUGUGACGAAGCGUGAGUGACGGUAAUGGGUAAAGAAGCACCGGCUAACUACGUG